This 234-nucleotide ribosomal RNA is filed under the name uncultured fungus. RNAcentral's name for it is "partial 18S ribosomal RNA". It matches the Rfam family "Eukaryotic small subunit ribosomal RNA", at positions 548 to 785 of the family's 1831-position model. The record is from RNAcentral. Lineage: Eukaryota; Fungi.
UUGGAGGGCAAGUCUGGUGCCAGCAGCCCCGGUAGUUCCAGCUCCAAUAGCGUAUAUUAAAGUUGUUGCAGUUAAAAAGCUCGUAGUUGAAUUUCGGGAUCAAUAUAUCGGUCGUGCCUUGGUACGUACUGGUAUCAUUGGUUUCUCCUUUCUGACGAACCAUGAUGUCACUAAUUUGGUGUUAUGGGAAGUUAGGACUGUUACUUUGAAAAAAUUAGAGUGUUUAAAGCAGGC